AUGAUUAAUUUUUGCAUCUUCUUUCUUACAGAUUCAUUUUCUGGUAUAAAAACACAAGGUGGGUGUAAGUUUAAUGAUGGUUUUGUUAUUAACCAUGUGAUCCAACAUAAUUUUACCAUUAACAUUUCAGGUCUGGUUCCACCUGAACUGACAGUGACUCCACUGGUGAUCACAGAGUCAGACUCAGUCACUGUGAACUGUCAGACUCCAUCAUCUGUUCCUGUCUAUCAGUGUUGGCUCUACUCAGUGAGGGAUCAAACCUCCAGAGUCGUCUCUUGUCAUCAGACACUGACAGGAACUGAGCUGAUGAAAAUGACUCAUCAAAGUUCACCUGCUGAUAUUGAAGUUACAUGUUAUUACACUGUGGAGCAAAGAGGAACUAAAUCUCAAUCUCCACUUAGUAACUCUAUCAUCAUACAGAGUCUGGUUCCACCUGAGCUGACAGUGACUCCACUGGUGAUCACAGAGUCAGACUCAGUCACUGUGAACUGUCAGACUCCAUCAUCUGUUCCUCUGAGUCAGUGUUACUUUAACUUUGGUAAAGACAAACCUGCCAAACCCUUCUCUUGUCAGAAGACGCUGACAGGAACUGAACUGCUGCAAAUCACAAACCAAAAUUCACCUGCUGAAGUUGCAGUCAGCUGUUUUUACCUUAAAACGCAUCGGGCUCCAAACAGUAAUGUGUUCUCCAUCAGCAUACGACUACCUCGGCCUGAGCUGACAGUGACUCCACUGGUGAUCACAGAGUCACACUCAGUCACUGUGAACUGUCAGACUCCAUCAUCUGUUCCUGUCUAUCAGUGUUGGCUCUACUCAGUGAGGGAUCAAACCUCCAGAGUCGUCUCUUGUCAUCAGACACUGACAGGAACUGAGCUGAUGAAAAUGACUCAUCAAAGUUCACCUGCUGAGAUUGAAGUUACAUGUUAUUACAGUGUAGAGCAAGGAGGAACUCUUUCUCUGUCUCCACAUAGUAACUCUGUCAUCA
This 985-nucleotide long non-coding RNA is filed under the name Betta splendens (Siamese fighting fish). RNAcentral describes it as "lncRNA (ENSBSLG00000000676.1)". The record is from RNAcentral. Lineage: Eukaryota; Metazoa; Chordata; Actinopteri; Anabantiformes; Osphronemidae.